GACGAACGCUGGCGGCGUGCCUAAUACAUGCAAGUCGAACGCACUUUCUUUCACCGUAGCUUGCUACACUGAACGACAAUCAGUGGCGUACGGGUGAGUAACCCGUGGGUAACCUGCCCAUCAGCGUCGGAUAACCCUUGCUAACAGGUGCUAAUACCGCAUACUUCCAUUUACCGCAUGGUAGAUCGGUGAAAGUCGCUUUUGCGUAUCUGACCGAUCGACCCGCGGUGCAUUUGCUGGUUGGUGGGUUCACGGCCUACCAAGGCUGCGAUGCAUAGCCGACCUGAGAGGGGGGUCGGCCACACUGGGACUUGGACACGGCCCCGACUCCUACGGGGAGCAGCAGGAGGGAAUCUUCGGCAAAGGACGCAAGUCUGACCGGGCAACGCCGCGGUGGGGGAGAAGGGUCUCGGAUCGUAAAACUCUGUUGUUAGGGAAGAAAAAGAAGGGGAGUGAAAAGUGCAUCCCUUGACGGUAUCUAACCAGAAAGCCACGGCUAACUACGUG
This 507-nucleotide ribosomal RNA is filed under the name uncultured bacterium. Its description in RNAcentral is "partial 16S ribosomal RNA". It matches the Rfam family "Bacterial small subunit ribosomal RNA", at positions 28 to 507 of the family's 1533-position model. The record is from RNAcentral.